GGUUGUAUGGUGUAGUGGUUAUCACUCCAGAUUUUGACAUUUGAUAAUAAAUUUCUGGCAACCCCGGUUCGAGCCCGGGUACGACCU
Non-coding RNA from Myxozyma melibiosi, 87 nucleotides. The record is from the annotation of a RefSeq genome assembly. NCBI's taxonomy places the organism in Eukaryota, Fungi, Ascomycota, Lipomycetes, Lipomycetales, Lipomycetaceae.